Micropterus dolomieu (smallmouth bass) is the source of this 548-nucleotide long non-coding RNA. RefSeq lists it as uncharacterized. The transcript is spliced from 3 exons. The record is from RefSeq and is a predicted model, not a curated record. Lineage: Eukaryota; Metazoa; Chordata; Actinopteri; Centrarchiformes; Centrarchidae.
CCGAAGCCACGCCCCCACAACACGUGAACGCGCGUUGCCGAUACCGCAGGAGGACGAGGACAGUGUGAUGAGCGGAGAGCAGCGGCUCACAUCAGGGGACUGCACCCCAGAGCCAAGCACAAACCAGGACAGGCCCGGGGUCGAGGCGAAGCAGAGGAAGGAGGGCUGCCGGGGUCCGAGGAAGAAGAGGCAGGACGGGGAAGACAAGGUGCAAGCUAAGGAGCACAUCUUCUAGGACCUGCGUCGAGCUUCACACUCCAACAACAGCAUAUGAACAGGCCAGAAUCUGAGGACUGUGAACAACAUUCAGACUACAGUGUUUCCAUGCACCACACAUGGCUGAUUCCAGACCCAGGACAGAGUAACAGACAGUUCUGUCAGGCAGUAUACAGACAGUUUGCAGUGUGGCAAUGUGGAGCACUUAGACACAGAGUCGUGAUACUGAGUUGCUGUUUCUGGAAGAUAUGCAACUGUUAUCCUGAUCCACUAGGACAAUACAGAGGUUUAAUCCUAGCAGGGUGUAAGAUGUAAUGUCACCAACUGCUACA